Molecule: long non-coding RNA, 295 nt
Filed under: Gallus gallus (chicken)
Lineage: Eukaryota; Metazoa; Chordata; Aves; Galliformes; Phasianidae
Source: RNAcentral
UGGAUUUCUUUUCUCUUGUAAAACUUAUUUAAGUUUUUCAGAACUUCACCCUUGUCGAGGGGUCGCGUGAGCUCGGCGCCCACGUCCUCCUCCGCCGCGCCCUCGACAGGCUUCAGCGGCACGGGCACGAAGAGGGAGGUGUCGGGGGCCCGCAAACCGCCGCCACCCGACGAUGAGGAGGAGGAAGAGGCGGCGGCUUGGCGAAGACGGACUGCCCCGCCAUGGCGCAAGGCGAGCCCCACGCGGGACGACAGCCGCAGCAGCGGCCACGCGCACCGCCUCAUCGGCAGCGAAG